AUUUCGCUUUAAAACAUAUCAUGAAACUGGGUAUGUUUUGUCUGCCUGCUCUGGGAUCGCUGGGGCGGGCAUUUUUUU
This 78-nucleotide small RNA is filed under the name Escherichia coli str. K-12 substr. MG1655. RNAcentral describes it as "small RNA FlgO". Lineage: Bacteria; Pseudomonadati; Pseudomonadota; Gammaproteobacteria; Enterobacterales; Enterobacteriaceae. The record is from RNAcentral.